UCCACACCUGUGGCGUCCCCACCCAAAGAACUAUGCCAAUGAACUGGAAGGAACUCCACUCUGCUUACUUUCCCGUCAUCUAAAGAUUUCUUGAAAUGUGUCCGCAGCAAUUUGAGAGAAACCACCCUAAAAUCAUCCACACACUCAAUAAUGCUCCUAAAGCGUAAGUCACACACAGGUCCAAUGCCAUGCACCACAAACACCAAAUGGUCAACUUGAGGCAUCUCCCCGUCGGGAAUUUCAUCAAGGUUAUCAUCAAUUCCACGCUUUA
RNAcentral lists this long non-coding RNA (271 nucleotides) under Homo sapiens (human). RNAcentral describes it as "LNC_000571". Lineage: Eukaryota; Metazoa; Chordata; Mammalia; Primates; Hominidae. The record is from RNAcentral.